RNAcentral lists this ribosomal RNA (492 nucleotides) under uncultured Bacteroidota bacterium. RNAcentral's name for it is "bacterial SSU rRNA". It matches the Rfam family "Bacterial small subunit ribosomal RNA", at positions 355 to 848 of the family's 1533-position model. The record is from RNAcentral. Lineage: Bacteria; Pseudomonadati; Bacteroidota.
UAAGGAAUAUUGGACAAUGGGCGCAAGCCUGAUCCAGCCAUGCCGCGUGAAGGAUGAAGGCCCUAUGGGUCGUAAACUUCUUUUAUACGGGACAAAACCCCCCGAUGCGUCGGGGGUUGAUGGUACUGUAAGAAUAAGGGUCGGCUAACUUCGUGCCAGCAGCCGCGGUAAUACGAAGGACCCGAGCGUUAUCCGGAUUUAUUGGGUUUAAAGGGUGCGUAGGCGGAUUAGUAAGUCAGUGGUGAAAGCCCGUCGCUCAACGGCGGAACUGCCAUUGAUACUGCUAGUCUUGAGUAUGGUUGAGGUGGGCGGAAUGUGUCAUGUAGCGGUGAAAUGCUUAGAUAUGACCAGAACACCAAUUGCGAAGGCAGCUCGCUAAGCCAUAACUGACGCUGAUGCACGAAAGCGUGGGAGCAAACAGGAUUAGAUACCCUGGUAGUCCACGCCCUAAACUAUGAUCACUCGUUGUUGGCGAUACACAGUCAGCGAACG